GCAAUCAAUUAGCACGUUCAAUUCCAGUGGUCACAGGAUAGAUUCUUUUGCCGUUAUAUCCAAAAUUAAGAGAAAAAAGAGCAACAUCAGACCUCUUUAAAAGGAUAAAGCAAGAAGGGAAGAUCUUACAAAAUGCUAUCUUCACUUCAAAAAGACGCAAGCAUAGAGGCUGGUCAAUGUCUAUAUAAUACCAGCUUCUAGCUCUAAAUUUUCAU
Molecule: unclassified non-coding RNA, 215 nt
Filed under: Hevea brasiliensis (rubber tree)
Lineage: Eukaryota; Viridiplantae; Streptophyta; Magnoliopsida; Malpighiales; Euphorbiaceae
Source: RNAcentral